Molecule: ribosomal RNA, 388 nt
Filed under: uncultured bacterium
Lineage: Bacteria
Description: partial 16S ribosomal RNA
Rfam family: Bacterial small subunit ribosomal RNA
Source: RNAcentral
AUACAUAGGGGGCAAGCGUUAUCCGGAAUUAUUGGGCGUAAAGGGUGCGUAGGCGGUCUAUUAAGUUUAAGGUAUAAGUGCAAGGCUCAACCUUGUGAGGCUUUAGAAACUGGUAGGCUAGAGAUAGCUAGAGGCAAGUGGAAUUCCAUGUGUAGCGGUAAAAUGCGUAAAUAUAUGGAGGAACACCAGUGGCGAAGGCGGCUUGCUGGGUCUAUACUGACGCUGAGGCACGAAAGCGUGGGGAGCAAACAGGAUUAGAUACCCUGGUAGUCCACGCCGUAAACGAUGAGUACUAAGUGUUGGGGGAACCCAGUGCUGUAGUUAAUAUAUUAAGUACUCCGCCUGAGUAGUACGUACGCAAGUAUGAAACUCAAAUGAAUCGACGGGG